UUUAAAGUCUGAUCUGCCCCAUGAGGGAUUAAAUGGCCGCGGUACCUUGACCGUGCAAAGGUAGCAUAAUAAUUAGUUUUUUAAUUGAAAGCUGGAAUGAAUGAUUGGACGAAAAAAUAACUGUCUCAGUUUAAUUUAAUUAGAAUUUUAUUUUUAAGUAAGAAAGCUUAAAUUAUAUUAAAAGACGAGAAGACCCUAUAGAGUUUUAUAGUAUAAUAAUUAUUGAUUUUUUAGUAUUAUUUUAUAAAUAAUUAUAUUUAUUAUUUUGUUGGGGCGAUAGAAAAAUUAAAUUAACUUUUUUUUUAUUUAUACAUUAAUUUAUGUUUACCUGAUCCAUCUUUGAUGAUUAUAAGAUUAAGUUACCUUAGGGAUAACAGCGUAAUUUUUUUUUAGAGUUCCUAUCGAAAGAAAAGGUUGCGACCUCGAUGUUGGAUUAAAAUUAAGGCUUGGUGUAGGCGCUAAGCAAUUAGGUCUGUUCGACCUUUAAAAUUUUACA
This 496-nucleotide ribosomal RNA is filed under the name Maladera sp. DA3821. RNAcentral's name for it is "partial 16S large subunit ribosomal RNA". It matches the Rfam family "Bacterial large subunit ribosomal RNA", at positions 1844 to 2600 of the family's 2925-position model. Lineage: Eukaryota; Metazoa; Arthropoda; Insecta; Coleoptera; Scarabaeidae. The record is from RNAcentral.